CAGGACUAUGGACUGUGUGUUGAAACUUCUAAUGUUUGAAGAUCUGCUUCUUUGCCCUUUGAACUCUGAGCAAGGAACCUUUCCAGACAGUGUGAACUCAUUGGCUUCCCCAUAACUCUACAGAGCUUCCGCUGCCAUAUAACUGGGAAUCAGAGAGGUCAGGAUCCCUGAGGAAGCAGAUCCUGAGAUGAAAAUUUCCAAGCAGGAAGAUUACUUGUCUUCUUGGGAUCAACAACCUGGAAGGAAAUAGGACUGGGCAGAGAGAGAAGUUAAAUUGUAAGGUAAUCCAAACAAAACCCUCUGCAGAUCCUACAGGAGUCUUUGCUGACUCUUCAGAGUUGUCCUGAAUUGGGAUGAAAGACAGAAACCUUUAUACUUCUUCAUCAACCAAUCACUGGAUGCAGGGUGCCCACAGGACGAGGAUGGGACAUGAGGCAAAGUAACUCUCUUCAGAUGAGGCAAGUCUCAGAAAGUGACUCAGCUGAAAAUGGCUGCCAACAGUUCUAGCAGCUGGGGGGAAUGAGUGCUUCAGUCCUGAAGAGAAUCUGGGUGACACAGCAUGGCAUGUACUAAAGUUAACUACAUCUCAAUCUCAGCCAUUAUUCUACCUAUUGGCUUGCUGAAGAGGUACUAGGUUGGCUCACAGAAGCAAAUGGACCAGUUAUGACAUCAAGUAAGAAAAGGCUUUCUCCUCCCUACACUCCCCCUUUGUCAACAAAUGGAGCUAACUGGACAUUCCCCAAUUCACUAAUUAGCUGUGAGACAAGGUGUUAGUCUCACCUCUUAUCUGCACCUUCAUUUGGUCAGUUGUAAAAUGAGAAAUUUGCAUCUGAUGAGCUCUAAAGGUGCAUCCAACCCUACUAUUCUAUGAUAAUAAUCAUAUUAUGUCAGAUUAAGUGUAAUGCAGAUGCACAAAUACUGUUCAUGGAGUUUAGAAUCUUAUACU
Long non-coding RNA from Equus quagga, 946 nucleotides. RefSeq lists it as uncharacterized. The record is from RefSeq and is a predicted model, not a curated record. The transcript is spliced from 3 exons. Lineage: Eukaryota; Metazoa; Chordata; Mammalia; Perissodactyla; Equidae.